Molecule: long non-coding RNA, 393 nt
Organism: Ochotona princeps (American pika)
Lineage: Eukaryota; Metazoa; Chordata; Mammalia; Lagomorpha; Ochotonidae
Exons: 2
Source: RefSeq, a predicted model, not a curated record
UAGGCCUCCAUUUCCUCAAGUGUAAAAAGGGAAGAAUAAUGGGACGCUGUCUGAGGAUGGCAAUGAGGUUUAAAUGAGAGGAUCCAGAGCUGAGCCUGGUUUACAGGAUGUGUUCUGCACAGGGUCUGCAGUGUCCACUUCCCACCUCAAGUCUCAGAGAGCAGCAAAGCAUCAAUGCAAUUUUCUCAGUUGGCCUCAGGAGACAGGCAAGAGCAAGGUGAGAAUGAGAUUAGGGACCUGCUCUUGGUGAAGGUUCAGCAAUAGACAGCAAAACUUUUGCUCUUGGGAAACAGAUGGAGAGACUGGAUGUCUGGGGAUGCUAGGCCCCAGAUUAGCCACAUAUGCUGCAGAAACAUCUCAGGACAUGUGGACGGAGUGAACAUCUUUCAAAAA